ACACCUAGCAUUGCAGGUGUGGCUGCUGUGUCACAUGUACGUCAGUAGGCGGCAGAGAGGAGAGAGGCUAUGUCUGUGCCCAGUGAUCUGACCAAUGAAUAUAUGAAUGAUUAGUAGCCUAACAUU
This is a small nucleolar RNA of Grammomys surdaster, 126 nucleotides long. RefSeq annotates it as small nucleolar RNA SNORA17. The transcript has a single exon. NCBI's taxonomy places the organism in Eukaryota, Metazoa, Chordata, Mammalia, Rodentia, Muridae. The record is from RefSeq and is a predicted model, not a curated record.